UACGAAGGGGGCGAGCGUUUGUUCGGAUUUACUGGGCGUAAAGGGCGCGCAGGCGGCAGAUCAAGUCAGACGUGAAAGCCCCGGGCUUAACCUGGGAACUGCGUUUGGGACUGGUUUGCUAGAGAUCGGGAGAGGAGAGUGGAAUUCCCAGUGUAGAGGUGAAAUUCGUAGAUAUUGGGAAGAACACCGGUGGCGAAGGCGGCUCUCUGGACCGAUACUGACGCUGAGGCGCGAAAGCGUGGGGAGCAAACAGG
RNAcentral lists this ribosomal RNA (254 nucleotides) under uncultured bacterium. RNAcentral's name for it is "partial 16S ribosomal RNA". It matches the Rfam family "Bacterial small subunit ribosomal RNA", at positions 524 to 776 of the family's 1533-position model. The record is from RNAcentral.